GAUGAUAACGAGGGAGACCAAGCAGCGGUGCUGCCAGAGAGAGCAGAUGAAUCCCUUUUCUUGAACAAUUUGGCUUUCUUUUAUUUAAAGUUGCAGGCAAAACUUUUACUGCCAGCAUCAGUCAUACAGUCUAUUAUUGAGGAUUUUCAAGCAGUGCAUGAUAUCAGUCAGUCUCAUUUACUUCAUAAGUUGGACGAAAAGCUGGUAUCAUUGGAUAUCUCUGACCGUGAGAGAGAGAGGUUCUUAAAUCCGAGGAUUUGUUUCGGGCAUGCAACACUGGUACCUUGAAAACUGAUCAAAGACAAAAAACGGUUUUUAAAAAUCAGUUUAGAUACAUUGAGCCAGUCCCACCUUAUCUUGGAAAGAAUGAUAUGGGAUCACAGAGUGGCUUUAGUGAAAACUUCAGUAAAGGCACCCAUUUCUGCAGAUUAUGUACUAGAGCCCGACCGAUAUAUCUAUAAUAUAUUAAUAUAUAUUAUAUAAUAAACAAAAAAAAAA
Long non-coding RNA from Anguilla anguilla (European eel), 498 nucleotides. RefSeq lists it as uncharacterized. The record is from RefSeq and is a predicted model, not a curated record. NCBI's taxonomy places the organism in Eukaryota, Metazoa, Chordata, Actinopteri, Anguilliformes, Anguillidae. The transcript is spliced from 2 exons.